RNAcentral lists this ribosomal RNA (839 nucleotides) under uncultured fungus. RNAcentral describes it as "eukaryotic LSU rRNA". It matches the Rfam family "Eukaryotic large subunit ribosomal RNA", at positions 1 to 680 of the family's 3401-position model. The record is from RNAcentral. Lineage: Eukaryota; Fungi.
UCAAGAUCUCAGAUGAGGUAAGACGACCCGCUGAAUUUAAGCAUAUAAUUAAGCGGAGGAAAAGAAACUAACUAGGAUUCCCUUAGUAACGGCGAGUGAAGCGGGAAGAGCUCAAACCGAAAAUCUCUGUCUGGCAAACGGGCAGCGAAUUGUGGUCUAUGGAGGCAUGUUCAGCGUGCGGCGCCGGCCAAAGUCCGUUGGAAAACGGCGCCUGGGAGGGUGAUAGCCCCGUCCAUGGCUGGAUGUCCGCCGCGUACGAACUGCUCUCUAAGAGUCGGCUUGCUUGGGAGUGCAGGCCUAAGUGGGUGGUAAAUUUCAUCCAAAGCUAAAUAUCUGUGGGAGACCGAUAGCGAACAAGUACCGUGAGGGAAAGAUGAAAAGAACUUUGAAAAGAGAGUCAAAAGUACUUGAAAUUGCUGAGAUCGAAGGGAUGGCAUCUAGUAGUGGCUCGGGGAUUGAUUCGGAUGAGGGCUCGGUCACGGUCGGAUUGCAAUUGGCUUUUGGUCUUUGCGGCUCGGUCGCUGGCCGGGUUCGAGUUCGUCCUGUCCUCGGGCCUAGGUCAGGAUGGAUUCCUGGUGGUUUAGAAGCGCCGUGGGAAGGUGGCUGUCGCUUCGGUGGCAGAGCUUACAGACCACGGCCGAUGGAUUGCCGGGGAUUGAGGUGCGAAAAUCCACGCCUCUCGGGGCUGGGAACUCUUGGGAAUGGCGCGGCGGUACUGGCGGGAUGCAAUGCCUCGCGUCGGUGGCCGUCGUCCAACCCGGGUCGGUUCACUUGUGGAUUUGCGAUCCUGACGAAAUGGUUGUCAUUCACCCGUCUGAAACACGACCAGGAGUCUUACA